ACUCCUACGGGAGGCAGCAGUGGGGAAUAUUGCACAAUGGGGGAAACCCUGAUGCAGCCAUGCCGCGUGUGUGAAGAAGGCCUUCGGUUGUAAAGCACUUUCAGUAGGGAGGAAGGUAGUGUAGUUAACACCUGCAUUAUUUGACGUUACCUACAGAAGAAGCACCGGCUAACUCCGUGCCAGCAGCCGCGGUAAUACGGAGGGGUGCGAGCGUUAAUCGGAAUUACUGGGCGUAAAGCGCAUGCAGGCGGCCUGUUAAGUCAGAUGUGAAAGCCCGGGGGCUUAACCUCGGAAUUGCAUUUGAAACUGGCAGGCUAGAGUCUUGUAGAGGGGGUAGAAUUUCAGGUGUAGCGGUGAAAUGCGUAGAGAUCUGAAGGAAUACCAGUGGCGAAGGCGGCCCCCUGGACAAAGACUGACGCUCAGAUGCGAAAGCGUGGGAGCAAACAGGAUUAGAUACCCUGGUAGCGACAGAG
RNAcentral lists this ribosomal RNA (473 nucleotides) under uncultured bacterium. RNAcentral's name for it is "bacterial SSU rRNA". It matches the Rfam family "Bacterial small subunit ribosomal RNA", at positions 335 to 799 of the family's 1533-position model. The record is from RNAcentral.